GUACGUACAAGCAGUGGGAGCCCCACCACUAAGCCAGUGGUGAACUCCACAUACGCAUCCUUUGCUGAGGAUACGGUUAACGGAGCGAAAGCGACGUUCAACCGCAAAAGAAGCAGAGGGGGCUUAGUGGUGGGGUGACUGCGUACCUUUUGUAUAAUGGGUCAGCGACUUAUAUUCUGUAGCAAGGUUAACCGAAUAGGGGAGCCGGAGGGAAACCGAGUCUUAACCGGGCGUUAAGUUGCAGGGUAUAGACCCGAAACCCGGUGAUCUAGCCAUGGGCAGGUUGAAGGUUGGGUAACACUAACUGGAGGACCGAACCGACUAAUGUUGAAAAAUUAGCGGAUGACCUGUGGCUGGGGGUGAAAGGCCAAUCAAACCGGGAGAUAGCUGGUUCUCCCCGAAAGCUAUUUAGGUAGCGCCUCGUGAAUUCAUCUCCGGGGGUAGAGCACUGUUUCGGCUAGGGGGCCAUCCCGGCUUACCAACCCGAUGCAAACUGCGAAUACCGGAGAAUGUUAUCACGGGAGACACACGGCGGGUGCUAACGUCCGUCGUGAAGAGGGAAACAACCCAGACCGCCAGCUAAGGUCCCAAAGUCAUGGUUAAGUGGGAAACGAUGUGGGAAGGCCCAGACAGCCAGGAUGUUGGCUUAGAAGCAGCCAUCAUUUAAAGAAAGCGUAAUAGCUCACUGGUCGAGUCGGCCUGCGCGGAAGAUGUAACGGGGCUAAACCAU
RNAcentral lists this ribosomal RNA (730 nucleotides) under Salmonella enterica. RNAcentral describes it as "partial 23S ribosomal RNA". It matches the Rfam family "Bacterial large subunit ribosomal RNA", at positions 560 to 1190 of the family's 2925-position model. RNAcentral also lists the same sequence under 1 other name. Lineage: Bacteria; Pseudomonadati; Pseudomonadota; Gammaproteobacteria; Enterobacterales; Enterobacteriaceae. The record is from RNAcentral.